Molecule: ribosomal RNA, 435 nt
Filed under: uncultured bacterium
Lineage: Bacteria
Description: bacterial SSU rRNA
Rfam family: Bacterial small subunit ribosomal RNA
Source: RNAcentral
AACGCGAAGAACCUUACCUGGACUAGAAUGUGGGGGAAGAAAGGUUAAUACCAAUCGUCCGGGCAACCGGACCCAAAACAAGGUGCUGCAUGGCUGUCGUCAGCUCGUGUCGUGAGAUGUUGGGUUAAGUCCCGCAACGAGCGCAACCCUUAUUAACAGUUGCCAUCAUUAAGUUGGGAACUCUGUUAAGACUGCCGUUGAUAAAACGGAGGAAGGUGGGGAUGAUGUCAAGUCAUCAUGGCCUUUAUGUUCAGGGCUACACACGUGCUACAAUGGACGGUACAAAGCGUCGCAAUCUCGUAAGAGGGAGCCAAUCGCAAAAAGCUGUUCUCAGUUCGGAUUGAAGUCUGCAACUCGACUUCAUGAAGUUGGAAUCGCUAGUAAUCGCAAAUCAGCAUGUUGCGGCGAAUACGUUCCCGGGUCUGUCCCACCAAG